RNAcentral lists this ribosomal RNA (460 nucleotides) under uncultured bacterium. Its description in RNAcentral is "partial 16S ribosomal RNA". It matches the Rfam family "Bacterial small subunit ribosomal RNA", at positions 338 to 795 of the family's 1533-position model. The record is from RNAcentral.
CCUACGGGGGGCAGCAGUGAGGAAUAUUGGUCAAUGGACGAGAGUCUGAACCAGCCAAGUAGCGUGAAGGAUGACUGCCCUAUGGGUUGUAAACUUCUUUUAUAAAGGAAUAAAACGAGGCACGUGUGCCUUUUUGCAUGUACUUUAUGAAUAAGGAUCGGCUAACUCCGUGCCAGCAGCCGCGGUAAUACGGAGGAUCCGAGCGUUAUCCGGAUUUAUUGGGUUUAAAGGGAGCGUAGAUGGGUUGUUAAGUCAGUUGUGAAAGUUUGCGGCUCAACCGUAAAAUUGCAAGUGAUACUGGCAGUCUUGAGUACAGUUGAGGUAGGCGGAAUUCGUGGUGUAGCGGUGAAAGGCUUAGAUAUCACGAAGAACCCCGAUUGCGAAGGCAGCUUACUAAACUGUGACUGACAUUGAUGCUCGAAAGUGUGGGUAUCAAACAGGAUUAGAUACCCCAGUAGUC